This 177-nucleotide non-coding RNA is filed under the name human gut metagenome. Its description in RNAcentral is "Lysine riboswitch". It matches the Rfam family "Lysine riboswitch aptamer". From Rfam's summary of the family: Riboswitches are metabolite binding domains within certain messenger RNAs that serve as precision sensors for their corresponding targets. Allosteric rearrangement of mRNA structure is mediated by ligand binding, and this results in modulation of gene expression. This family includes riboswitches that sense lysine in a number of genes involved in lysine metabolism, including lysC. The record is from RNAcentral. RNAcentral also lists the same sequence under 1 other name.
UUGAUAGAGGUGCGGAUUCAAUGAGUCGUUUUGCGCAGAAAUGCCCGUUUCGUAGCAGCGCAGAAUAAAAGGUGAAUCUGCCGAAGAAUUUGACUGUUCGGGCAGAGUCAGGUUCUGGUUGCAGGUCUGAAUAAGUCUGUGACUGUCAUCAUAAUCUUUAUGAUGGAGAGCUAUCGC